CCUACGGGUGGCAGCAGUGAGGAAUAUUGGUCAAUGGGCGCGAGCCUGAACCAGCCAAGUAGCGUGAAGGAUGACUGCCCUACGGGUUGUAAACUUCUUUUAUAAAGGAAUAAAGUGAGGCACGUGUGCCUUUUUGUAUGUACCUUAUGAAUAAGGAUCGGCGAAAUCCGUGCCAGCAGCCGCGGUAAUACGGAGGAUCCGAGCGUUAUCCGGAUUUAUUGGGUUUAAAGGGUGCGUAGUUGGGUUGUUAAGUCAGUUGUGAAAGUUUGCGGCUCAACCGUAAAAUUGCAAUUGAUACUGGCAGUCUUGAGUGCAGGAGAGGUAGGCGGAAUUCGUGGUGUAGCGGUGAAAUGCUUAGAUAUCACGAAGAACUCCGAUUGCGAAGGCAGCUUACUGGACUGCCACUGACGUUGAUGCUCGAAAGUGUGGGUAUCAAACAGGAUUAGAUACCCGUGUAGUC
Molecule: ribosomal RNA, 460 nt
Filed under: uncultured bacterium
Lineage: Bacteria
Description: partial 16S ribosomal RNA
Rfam family: Bacterial small subunit ribosomal RNA
Source: RNAcentral